RNAcentral lists this ribosomal RNA (497 nucleotides) under uncultured bacterium. Its description in RNAcentral is "partial 16S ribosomal RNA". It matches the Rfam family "Bacterial small subunit ribosomal RNA", at positions 28 to 507 of the family's 1533-position model. The record is from RNAcentral.
GAUGAACGCUGGCGGCGUGCCUAAUACAUGCAAGUCGAGCGAACAGAUGAGGAGCUUGCUCCUCUGACGUUAGCGGCGGACGGGUGAGUAACACGUGGAUAACCUACCUAUAAGACUGGGAUAACUUCGGGAAACCGGAGCUAAUACCGGAUAAUAUAUUGAACCGCAUGGUUCAAUAGUGAAAGACGGUUUUGCUGUCACUUAUAGAUGGAUCCGCGCCGCAUUAGCUAGUUGGUAAGGUAACGGCUUACCAAGGCAACGAUGCGUAGCCGACCUGAGAGGGUGAUCGGCCACACUGGAACUGAGACACGGUCCAGACUCCUACGGGAGGCAGCAGUAGGGAAUCUUCCGCAAUGGGCGAAAGCCUGACGGAGCAACGCCGCGUGAGUAAUGAAGGUCUUCGGAUCGUAAAACUCUGUUAUUAGGAAAGAACAAAUGUGUAAGUAACUAUGCACGUCUUGACGGUACCUAAUCAGAAAGCCACGGCUAACUACGUG